This 25932-nucleotide long non-coding RNA is filed under the name Phoenix dactylifera (date palm). Its description in RNAcentral is "long non-coding RNA (PDAC_LNC002357)". Lineage: Eukaryota; Viridiplantae; Streptophyta; Magnoliopsida; Arecales; Arecaceae. The record is from RNAcentral.
CUCUCCGACUCUCUCUGUUUUGCUAUGCCCUGGAAUGGCAUAGUAUGGACCUAUACCGUGUGGUUCGUAUUGCGUAGAACCAGUCACUGGCUGGUACGCCCUCUGGUAUUGACUCAACGAACCUUGAUUAUAAGCAUGCGAAACUUCAAUGAAAGCGUUCGAGACUUGAAACUAAGAGUCCCUUGCAUGUCAUUCCCCCAAAAGAAGUGCCAAGAUUUAGAACUUUCUGCUGAUUUCAGCAAGGCAUGUGCCCUUUCCUGCCGCAUCUACAUGUGUUCAAAAGCAACACAUCUAGAGUAUCCAAGUAGCACAAAUAAUGAUGACAAUCUAACAGUGGUGAAAGUGGUACUUUCUUUGACGAGGAGAAGGAAAACAAGUGAUUGAAAUGAAGUUGAUUCCCUAAAUCACGCUCGAGCAUAAAAGUAUGUGCUGGGAUGACCUUUUUUGAAGCCCAUUUCCUCUCUCAGUUCAGCCCCACCCACAAGCCCACCCUCUCCAAUGUUCCCUGUGUAACAAAAAUUGGUACACAAUGUGACUAUUUUCUAUGACUAUAACUAUAUUCAAGCAAACAGACACAGAUGUGUUGUUGCACAUUGCUGAAACAUAAUCGUGAACUAACCAAUCCAAUCUUAUGAUAAGAUUCGCAAUAUGUUUAUUAUCAGAUGUCAUCAAGACUUCAAUAAGAAUCACUUAAAAUCUGUAAAUAUAUCUCGUAUUUAAAGAAAAGAUGAUACUUUUGUUCCGACACUGGCACUCAACAGGUUCAAUCCAUUGGUAUGACAGCCUUAGUAUUUUAAAAUCUUAACAACUGAUAUUUUUUUUUGAGACAUUUUUUGUCUUGUAAAAUUAUUGUUGCAGUUAUAUGUCCAAAACUGUUAGCGUUGUUUUUUUUAAAGACAAAAGCUUCUUUUUAGAUUUUACGAAGUUCUGAUCUGCUUGUAUUGGAAAAUUUCUUUCUGCAGCCACCUAGCCAUUUUGAUGAGCUACCAGAUGAUUCUGAUCCAAGUGGAAAAUUUCCAGGUUCGUUUGAUGAUGGGGAUCCUCAAACCACAAACUUGUAUGUUGGGAACCUCUCACCAAAGGUCUGAUUAUGCUCUCAUUUCUUGUUUAGUUUACAAGUUUUUUGUUUUUUAUUGGUUUAAGGGACUGACCAACUGUCGCACCAUUAUGAAUCAUGUUAGGUGGAUGAAAAUUUUCUUUUGAGAACAUUUGGGAGGUUUGGACCCAUUGCUAGUGUGAAGAUAAUGUGGCCUCGAACCGAGGAGGAAAGGCGGAGGCAAAGAAAUUGUGGCUUUGUUGCUUUCAUGAACAGAGCUGAUGCACAAGCUGCCAAGGAUGAAAUGCAAGGUUUGCUGACCUUUUGACCUAUUGACAUUAAUGAUGUACUAAGUGUUAUAUACUGCUACUAAUUGGCAUUUAAUGGGGUUAUGACUUAAAUAAUGAGGGAGUUUCUUUUUAACUCAUUUCAAAGGGCUUUCGUUGCGUACAGGGAUUGGUUGUGAUUUGGGAUCCACAAAGCCAAUGGCAUUACAAAUCAUUGUGAACUAGCAACUAGUGAAAAGUUUUUGCUAAAGAUAAUUUUAGUUAUUUUGUACAUUUGACAUACAUAGCAUUUUAUGAUCAUCUUUCAGAAUAGUCAAAUAUCCUUGUUGUACUCUCUGCUUUGCAGAAAGUUUAUAAGAAUCUUGAGAAAACUUCUUGUUCUCUUGCAUAUGAGAUGUCACAAGUUUUAUUUUUGUAAAUAGUAAUAUGAGAUUUUUAUAUUAAGUGAUUAACAAAUAGAAUGAAGAAAAACCUCACAUGAUGAGGAAAAGAGAAUGGAUUUUGUAUAAUAACCAUGAAGUUAGUACCAACCCAAUCCUCAUGCUUAUAAACAUUGUUGUUAAAUGUUGCCACGUGAACAUUUGGGAAUGAUAUUGCUUAUUUUUUUAAAGUUGGCAUGCCCUUAAAAAUGACCAUGAUCAAACUUGCUCCUGUUAAACAAACUCUCAAUCUCUACUACUUUUAUAUUUCCUAUGCCUUUUUCUGCUGUUGAAUUGUGCUGGUCUUUAUAUGCAAUAAUCUUUUAUUUGACAUCGGUCUAUACUUCGAGUCCCAAUAGCAGUGCUUGAUGAUUUUCUAUAGUUUCACAUCAUUAAUUAAAUGAUCUGUAUUAUGGUUGGACAUGAUUCUAUGCUUAAUUUUUGCACAAAAUUUGUAUGGAUUAUGUCACCUCUGCAGGGUGAUAUAAAAUGUGUCUUUAUAUUUAAGCUCCAUGUUUUUAAGUAAUAAUCUCUAAAUAAGGAAAUUGAGUUGGUGGAUAAGGCCAAUAAAAAGGAGGUAUGAUUCAUUGACUAUAGCCACUUGUCAGAAAAAGUCUCUGGAUAAAAAGUCUCAUUGAAUGUUUCGGUUUUUGUGUAGAAAGCUAUACUUCUUGAUUUCUUAAUGUUUCAUUGAACUCUUUUUUUGAUUUUUUUAAAAAAUUGAUCCUUUAAUUUUAGAAAUCUGCUCAUUCUUUAUCCUUAUUUUUUUCUUUUUCAGUCUAUUAGCAUCCUCCUUGAACAAGAUUAUAUGAAGAGGGCUUAGUAACAAUACUAAAUAAUUUCUCCUGUAACUGUAUUUACACCUCUGGUUGUUUACCUAUUCACUCUCCUAAGCUUCCAUGUGAGACAUCCCUCUUGCACUACUUGAAUUUCUAGAUGCUGUGUGCAUGCUCCUAUAAUUGUGCACUACUCUUUUUGAUUUUCUCCCAUAAUGUCUAAUAUUUUUGGAUUCCUGUUCUAGUUACAUAUAUUUUCGCUGUAUCUUACUGAUACUACUAAUUAUCAUAUGCUGCAUAUGUAGUAAUUUCUAGGUUUUUAGUGGCUUUAUAUUUUUUUUAAGAAUUAAUAACAUAUCUAAUUUGGAAGUUUCUUACUACUUCUCUGAUUUGAGGAUGCGUCUUAGUGCAACAGUAAGAUUGCUUUAUUGUAAUCUUAGUGUCACGGGUUUGAAAUAGAAAAACAACACCUCCAUAUGUGCGAGUAAGGCUAUGUACAUUUGACCCUCCCUAGACACUCCAGUGACUGGAGCCUCGUGCACUAAGACACCUUUUUUAAAUCUCUUACCACCUCUCUUUGCAAUAUCAUAUCCAUUUUCACCCUCAAAUUUACUACCUGAACUUUUGGUCACUCGUUAAUUGAAUUGUUCUUCAGGGUUUGCUUACAUAACAUGUUUGCUUGGCAAGCGUGGAUUGUUGAACCGGCCUGAACCAGGUGGUUCGGCUUGUAUGAAAUCAUAUCGAGACCGGCCCGAGACAGUUCAGCCUCUUGGGUUAGUUCACCCCUAGUUUAUAAAAGCCCUCCCCAGAGUCUCUGUUUAGACAGCCCUCCCAAGGGUUUCACUUGUUUGCUUGUUGGAGGGUUUCACGCUUGUCUUGCCCUCGCUGACUGCUGCAAUCGCCCCUAGGUAAGUCCCUCUGACUCCCCCUCUCCCUCCCCCUCCCUCUCCAAGGAUUCAAGAUUAAGGCCUCUCUCCCCCUGUCCCUCCAUCUCUCUAUCUCUUUCUCUCCCGCAUCCUCGGUGGCCCUCCUCCUCGGAUUCUGGCACCUCUCUCUCUCUCUCUUCNNNNNNNNNNNNNNNNNNNNCCUCUCUCUCUCUCUCUUCCUCUCCUCCCUCCUCUCUCUCUCUCUUCCUCUCCCUCCCUUCCCACUUUCUCUCUUCUUCUCCCUCUCCUUAUUUUCGGUACGCCCCAGAAUGCUCUGUACCGCAACAAAUCAAUCACCGGCUGGUACAAACUCCAAUAUUGGAUCGGCGAACCUUGUUGUCAAGUAUUCUACAGAUAAGAAUUUUGUCUAGAACUAAUCAGUUCCUUGUUACUAUGAUUUCUCUUGUACCAAUUUAUUUUGCCCCACUUUGACCCCUUCAAAAAAGGAAUCAUUUUUAAUCCUUUACCAUCUGAGAUGUCUGCAAGCUCUCUUUGCACUUCUUGGGAAUACCAGGAACUCAGGGCAGAGAAUAGUAUAGCAAAUAGGAAGGGAAACAUUUAUGUUAACCUUUUAGAUCAUGCCUGUUGAAUGUGUACUUCGUUAUUAAAGUGCCCAACUAUUAUUGUGUCCCUUUUAUUUCUCUCCACCAAUGCUUUAGUCGGUAAUUCAGUAAUAUAUACCUCUCACUUUUGUAUGUUAACAAACUAGCAUUUUGUACUUCAAUUUGUUUUCCAUCAUGGAUUCUUAGUCUUCCAAAUUCCCUUUUAUCUUACUGACAUGUGUCAGUGCUAGGUUAAGCUAAUGAUAUGUGGCUGCAGUGAUCUCUUCUUUGUUCAAUUCACAUUUGCAUUUCCUGGCAUUUGUAUUUGGCAGAAAAUGGAUGGUUUAAAUGCACAAACCCUGUUUUGGCCCUUUGGUAUGCAUGCUAGGUGACAAGUUCUUUAUCGAUGUUUCUUAGUGUUCUUUCUCAAUGUUUACAUAUAUGCAAGGAGCAGCUUUUGUUACUCGUUGACUUUAAAUGACAUCCUUCAUUGGUUGCACUGCAUUUUGCUGAAAUCAUCUAGGCCCCAGGUUGAAUAUGAGUUUCUAUUUUCUAGGUCGAAUUGUGUACUAAAAUUUGUUUAUUUCAGGUGUAGUUGUUUAUGAAUAUGAGUUGAAGCUUGGAUGGGGUAAAUCUGUGGCUCUUCCAUCCCAGGCAUUGCCUGCUCCCCCACCUGGUCACAUGGCCAUCAGAAAUAAGGAGGUCUGUUGACUUUCUUCUGUGCUCGUUAUAUGUACCUUUUCUUUUUUUAAUUGAAAAAGAGAGAGUUUCUAUUAGUUAAUUGUUUUUGUUAGAUUACAUGUAUUUUUUAGCUUUUGGAAAACAGAUUUAUUCUUUGAAGUAUUUUGUUCUUCGUUUUUAUUUUUCACUUCACUCAUGUGGGGUUUACCUAUCAUUUAAUGACACUAUUUUUCAUUAUGGUAAAUGGCAGGGUGGUACUGUGAUUAUAUCUGGCCCUGAUGGUGCAGCAGUUACUUCUGUUACAAAUCAAAACUCCGAGUUGGUAUGUUACUUGAUUUAUUGAGAAAAACAUCAUUCAGCCUUUACUUUUCAAUGUUGAAAUGUAAUUAUUGCAAGACUAACAGUUACUCUUCUUGAUUAAUAGCCAAUUUUAUGAAAUGAAUCUUAUUUUUUUACAAAAAUAUGGAAACAAUGUACAGCAAUCUUGUUUGGUUAUUUUUUUAUAAUAUUCUUUAGGUAAUAAUUUAUAGUCUGUUGCAACUAAGUUACAUAAACCUUUUAAUCCAGUUUUUUUUUUCAGUUCAGUUGACAUUUAAAUUUUAGGUCAUCUACUUAAAUUUUUGAAAUUGUAUGAUGUGAAUUGGCCAUGUAGUCUGUGGGCACAGGCUAUGCUAUUUCAGAUUAACACGGAAUACAGAUUAGUCCCAACAUAUGGGUUUGCAGAAGUCAAGAUAGUAGGGCUUCAGCAGCACAAGAUGACAAAAUAAGAAAGAGGUAGAAUGGAAUCCAUUUGAACUAAGUGAAUGUAAAAUUUGCUAGAAAUUUCAGCUGGAUAUAUUAUGAAAAUUGUGGCUGUAAUUACAUCUGGAUAUUAAAACACUUAAAUCUAACCAAAACACAACCCUUAAUGAGAAUAAGGUGUCGAUGAACUGAUGAUAGAAUUGAUGGAUGGAAAUUAAUAUGUCCAGUCUAUGUUAGUGAAGUGCUUUAUUUGACCAAGUCACUUGAGAGCAUAAAAUCUUGAAGUUUGAACGUCUAACUCGACAAUGCGCUCAUAUGUCUUGGUCUGGCCCCUAUAUCCUGGGUUCAGCACAAAGUUUUCCCUAAAAUAGAAAUUAAACCUCCUGUUAUUACUAAAGGUCUGAUUUUCGGCUUUCACUAAUUUAUUUCUGUGAUAUUUAUCUUAUGACCUUGUAACUCUUGUAUCCAUGGUUUGCCGUACCGGUAGGCCGGUACGUACCGGUCCGGCAUGGAAUCCGGUACCGGUAGUUUAUUGUUGAAGAACUAGUACAGGACUGGUUCGGAUCGGUAUGGGACCGGUCCGGGCUGCCACUGGUACGCCGACCGGCACUGGUACGGCGGACCUUGUAUCCCCUGGAUUGUCAAAACUUGAUUGGAGCGUCCGCAAGAUCAUGGAGAAUUUUUUUUGGGCCUAUAGUUAAUGGCUAUUUUGCUAAAAUUUGCAGAAAAUUUUUCUAGCAUGUAGAUAUGCUCAUCUUUUUGUUUUGGAGAUACUUGCAAUGAUUUUUAAUGUAUUGGAAGUGAAUAGUUAACUUGUCAAUUUAUAUGUCCAACUGCUGGGUAAAGGUUGUCUAUUAUAAUAUUUAUUCAUUGCUCCAUAUAAUCAGAGAUAUAUAGUAAUACAACUGCUUGCUUAAUUGAGAACUAAGGUCUAACACCUACUUGAUGGUCAUGAUCAGCAAAAAAUGGAGGUGAAUAAUCACGAUUGGUUGCUCAGCUGGCUGGCUGCUUGCAUGCUGUUGCUUAGUUCCUAAACCGUGGCGGACAAUCCUUAGCAAAAGGAUGCUACUGCCUCUUUGAGGACUUCUUGUCAAUAGCAUAUACUUCAAAUUUUCACAUUCUAUGCCUUAUAGCUGUUUAGUCCUUUUAUUCUUGUGAGAUGGAAAUGCAAGAUGAGUAGCAGCAAUUUUUUUCCUUGUGCUUCUUGGAGGCCAUGAAAAUAUAACACAUCAAUGUUCGUUUCUGAAAUCAGGGCAGAUAUAUUUUCCAGAUAAAAAAGGGAUAUGGCGGUCAGCUUAGUUGAUUAAGAGCAUCUAUUAUUAUCACUCUAUGAUAAUAAAUUGGGUUAGUUUUAGUUGACUUUCUUUUCCUGUAUACUAGAAUAAAGGUGAUGCUCAUAACUGCACCAAUUAUAAUCAAAGGAAAGCAUAUAAGGUGCUCAAUGAGGUAGUGGAACAUAUAUGAGCUGCUCAGUGAGGUAGUGGAACAUAAAAUGUUACAAUCUCCAGGAACCAAUUUGCUUUAAUACCCAGGUAGGUAACAAUUUGAUUUCUCUCCCUUGGGAAGUUGUUGACCAGUAGAGAAGACAAUGCAUUACACAUGUUCUUAUCAACUGGAAGAAAACUUUUGAUUGAGCACCACGGCAUGUGAUUUUAAGAUGUAUAAGUUAGCUUUUCUUGAGAUUAAUUUUGACUAGUUGCCUUAUACCAAAGGUUGGUCUGGCAUGUGCCAUAAUGCAUUAAUUGCUGAUAUUUAUGAGAGUAUUGACUGGUAUUAUGAUUAUUAAGAAAAGUUUGGCUAGAUUAGGGUCUAAAAUCAGCAAAAGUGGAGCAAGUGCUUAGGACGCAAGUUUAGUUUGAAAAGAAUUAACAGAAGGCCAAAUUGAAAAUGAUGAGAUACUCCGAUGGCUCAUAUUUGUUACUGUCAUAGUGACAAGUUGAGAGAUUAGUGAAAAAGUUUCUUCCCUACUUUGCCAGGCUGUUUUUAGAUGUUAUAAUGCCUGUUUCUUGUAAAGCUUGAUUUGUCGUUUACUUUCAAACAGGAAAAUGAAGGUAUCAUUUUUAUGUGAUCAAUACAUGUCUUUGAGACAUUCCUUCCUAUUAUUUAAUACAAUUUGUGAGGCUGAUAAUGCUAAGGGCAUAUGCAAAAAUCAUGGACCAAAUCUUUAGAAAGAUCUUCCAAGUGCUUGACAAAAAUUGUGGCCUCUAAUAGAAAAAGAAUGCUGAUGACAUAAAAUAGUUGGCUUAUUAUUUGAUGGCCUAUAUGUUUUUAGUGGUUAGUGCCACUGAGAACUGAAGUCCAGUGACCAUAUAUUUUGAUUUGUGGUAACCUGUAAUUGCUAUAGUGUAGAAAGAAAACGAAGAUAUGCUUUUUGUCCUAUUAACUCUCUUAGUGUGAUUUCAUUCUUUUAUUAAUAAUGCUGAAAUAGUCAUCAUUCAAUAGAAAUUUCGGUGCUGUCAUCAUGCUUAACUAUUUAUUGUUAAUGCUUUAUAGAUUGUAUCUACUAAAGGUGCAUAACAUUACUCUUGAUCAUUGGGACAUUAGUUCCAUAUUAUGCUAAAAUGUGGAAGUCCUUUAGAAAGAGCCAAGUUUUAGGUAAUUGAGAGAAAAAAGGUGACUGUUUGCCUUUUUCUCCAAUUAUAUAUACGGCGGAUAUCAGGGGAUUGUAAAGAAAAAAGAAAAAAAUAUUGUUUGACCAUGUAAAUGUGCCUGAUCGGUUUGUUGUCCAAUCCAUUUCCCGUUACUUGUUAAUUGGAAUAUGAUGUGACAGCUUCUUCAUGAGUAUGUGAAACUACAAUGCUUUUGCAGAUAAUGGUAGCUUUAUUCAUCUAGUAACAUGUAAAUAUGCAUCAGCCACUUCCCUCUGAAUGAUUUUUUGUUUUGCUUGCUUACAUUUCAAAUCAUCUCCAACUGAUUGUUCUGUCCCUUUAUUCAAUGUUACUUAUUGUUCUCUGUCUUGUAGUGUAGAUUGCUUUUAAAGUGAUUUGCUAUUUUAAAUUUAUGGGCUGGAACUCAGCUCACCUCGUGAAGGCUAAUCAAAAUUGUGUCAGUGUUGCUAGUUUUAUAUGUUGUUGAAAACUUUCUAUACUGUUCACAUAAUAUCUGCUUGUUCUCACAUAAAUUAAACAUAUUUAAGUAUUUCCAUGGUUUUACUUGUUUUUCUAGGUGCUUACUCCAAAUGUUCCAGAUAUAGUGGUCGUACCUCCAGAUGAUGAUCACUUACGACAUGUGAUGAACACAAUGGCAUUGUAUGUUCUUGAUGGUGGAUGUGCUUUCGAGCAAGCUGUAAUGGAAAGGGGCCGCGGAAAUCCACUUUUUAACUUCUUAUUUGAUCUUAGAUCAAAAGAGCAUACAUAUUAUAUCUGGAGGCUUUACUCCUUUGCCCAGGUUAUAUGCUUUUUGUUCUUCUUACCAAUACAUUUCUUGUUCACUGUUUUGCCUUUAGCUAGAAAUAUUCAUUCAUUUUGUUAAUUUGCCGUUAUUCAGGUAAUUUUAAUACCAAGAAAAGAAAAGUAGUCAUACAGUAGGUAAAGCCUUCAUGGAAGAAGAGGUAGCUGCACAUUCGUACUUUGUAGAGCUUCCUCAAAGUCUUCCUUAGUUUGUCUACUAGUGACAUAAAAUCCAUGGCUUGUAAAACAUGAAGAUCGAAUAAUUGUAUGCCAAAAUCUUCUCUACAUAAUUUACAAUUUAGCCAUGAUCAAAUCCCGUAGUGACGAAACAAUUCUGCAGAAUUUUUCUCAUUGUACAAUCCCCUUCAUUUCUUGGCGAUCUAAUGUGUCAGGGGUCUAAGGGAACAUUUCAGACUUCUGAUUUUGCGGACCUCUACAAUGAUGUUAUAAUGAGCCUUAGUGUCUUUUGAAUCUCCUACCUUGCUUGGGUUCCUCAUUAAACAACCGUCAAAAGUUAAUGCAUCCCUGAGAAUAUUAUUUGAUCAUUCUUCCACAUAUUAAAUCCAUAAGAUUUUGUGCCUGAAGGACAACACGAUAUCAGACAGCCCCACCCAAUUAAACUGUAACAUGGUCUACAAAAUUAAAAGGAUGUACAUUCAGCUCAAUUUCAGAUGGAGCCUCAAUCAGAAAGGCCCACCCAAUGUGCCCACAUCAUCCUGUUGUUCUCUGGCAUUGUCCCAUCAAAUUUAUCCCAUAAUACAAUGGCUGAUUGACGGGUUAGAAUGUCUUUUACAUCCUAUUUAUUGACAUGAAAAGCCUCAUAUUACAUCUUGAAUGAGGUUUAUGGAUGUGAACCAUGAAGUGACCCCAGAGCCCCAGCAUUAUACAAGGUUUGCAAGCUGAAGAUUGCUAAAUACGCUGAAAGCUGCCACAUAACAACCAGAAAGCUUUUGUAAAGGGAUUGGUCUCCAUUUAUGCCAUUAUGUUGUUCUAGAGUGUAGUUGUUUUGGAAUUUUGAAAAUGGAAAGGAUAUUGCCGAUCACCCUUCUGAGAAACGUGUAUUCUAUGGCAUUGUAGGGUGAUACGCUUCAGCGAUGGCGGACAGAGCCCUUCAUCAUGAUUACGGGCAGUGGAAGGUAAGCUAGAUUCUUAGGUUCUGUUUCCUAUUGUGGUUGUGUCUGCAUGACACAAACUUCAUCUAAGAUCAAAGUUUUGAUCUAUUAUGAUGUGCAAUCUGUCGGACAUCAUGGUUGCUUUCUAGUUCUGAGCUGAUUUUGGUACGCUGUUAUAUUUUUUCUUUUCUAAUGCAAACCUCUGUUGUUAACCUAGGUGGAUUCCACCUUCUUUGCCACCUAGUCGAAGCCCUGAGCAUGAAAAAGAGUCUACUUUUGCAGCUGGUAGAAGCAGGGUAAGCUGUCAUAUCAUAGCAGAUUAUAGCAAUUGUUUUCCCCUAUCCAUGAGUUACAAAUAAUAUAGUUCACAAUAAGUCCAGGCUUGCUUUAUUUCUCAUUAACGUGUGGCAAGAAUAAUUUUUCCUCCGAUGAAAUAAUUCCUCGAUGUGGUUCUAGCGUGUGGAAUUGGAGCGUACAUUGACAGAUGCCCAGCGAGAUGAAUUUGAGGACAUGUUGCGGUCCUUGACUUUAGAGAGGAGUCAGAUAAAAGAAACUAUGGGGUUUGUGUUGGAUAAUGCUGAUGCUGCUGGAGAGGUAAUGCUAACCUUGUAUUGUGGUUGAUACUAAGGAGUCGUCUUUUUCUGAUAGGUCUCUUUGAUGACUUUUUCUGGAGUUUUCCUAUGAGAUCCAAAUUUUAAAUCCUGCUUAACAUUAUCUAUAUUUUGUUUUGAAGGCUUCUCACUGCAGCCUUUGCACAAACUAAUAAGACCUUUAUCUUGCAUGAGCAGUAGGCUUAGCUCUAAAUGAAUGCUGAUAUUAUUUGCCUUUUUCACUGUCCUGCUUUUUGUUUCAGUAGCUCUGCAACUCCAUUCUUGUACUAACCCUUCGAUUUUUACUUGAUCUACUACAGAUAGUUGAGGUUCUUACCGAGUCUUUAACACUUAAAGAAACGCCUAUACCAACCAAGGUUGCAAGACUUAUGCUGGUAUCUGACAUUCUGCAUAACAGUAGUGCCCCAGUGAAGAAUGCUUCUGCAUAUCGUACUAAGUUUGAAGCAACCUUGCCUGACAUAAUGGAGAGCUUCAAUGAUUUGUAUCGCAGCAUCACUGGACGGAUCACUGCCGAAGCACUGAAGGUAACUCGAGACCUCCAUCAAGGCAUAAGUUUGUCAUUUUUGAUGUUGUCAUCACAUGUUGCAUGUUCCUUGUGUUGGCUGCAGGAAAGAGUUCUCAAGGUUAUUCAAGUAUGGGCAGACUGGUUUCUCUUUUCAGAUGCAUAUUUGAGUGGGCUGCGAGCCACUUUCCUUCGAUCAAGCAAUUCAGGUGUCAUCUCCUUCCAUUUGAUAUGUGGUGAUGCACCAGAGAUUGAAAAUAAAACUGGCCAUGAAGAUGCAACUUAUGAUGGGGGUAAGCCUAACCAAGAUGGUGCAUUGGCAAUGGGAAGGGAAGCAGCCAUGAAGGAGCUACUGUGCCUUCCUAUUGCUGAACUAGAAAGGCGCUGCAGGCACAAUGGUCUGUCACAGUGUGGUGGAAGAGAGAUGAUGGUUGCCAGAUUGCUUAAUCUGGAAGAAGCAGAAAGGGGGAGAGGCUAUGAACAAGAUGAUGAUCGAACAUAUGGACCAAGCUAUUCAUAUAAAUAUGCUAGGGAUGAGGGUGUCGGGAAUGCCCAUAAUGCUGGACAUGGAGAACCUAAACUUGAUACAGAAUUAUUGGGCCCGACUGGAUCAAAUCAGUAUGGCAACGAAGUGAUUGGGAAAGACUCUGUUUCACCUGAGCAUGAAACAGUUACAAACGAGAGAGGAAAAUCUGAUCCAGUUUUACUAGUUUCUAAAUGGAGCCGAGAGGAUGAUGGUAGUGAUGAUGAAGAUAAGAAAAGUCCUUCAGGUUUGGGCUUAAGUUAUUCGUCUGGGAGUGAAGAUGCUGGUAAUCUUGGAAAGGCUGCUGAGUUGGAUGUCGUUGCUGCUGGCAUUCAUACUCACCCUGACAAUGUUAUGAAUGAAGAAUAUAGGUCGGAACAUGCUUAUAUAAGAAAAUUACCUAGCUUCUUGUAGUUUGUUUUGCUAAAAUGAUAAUCUUCAGUCCAUAAUUGAUUAACCGUUAUUUCUCCUGCAGACAGAAACUAAGGCGUUUAGAGGUCGCUGUAAUGGAAUACCGUGAAUCUCUUGAAGAACAGGGCUGUCGAGGUAAAGAUGAAAUCGAAAAGAAGGUAGCGAUUCAUCGAAGACGACUUCAAUCUGAAUUUGGUUUAUCAGAUUCUGCCGAUGAUUCAUGGAGCAACAGGAAUCCAUCUGGUCAGUGAGAAAAAAAAAAGCUAUUUUUGCCAUUAUAUUCUUAUGUCUAUCUAUAUACAUGGAAUAUACUGAAGAAGGUAUAUUGCAAUUUCUGAUCAUGUGAUGUCACAUUAUGUUGAUUAGUAAAAAGUACAAAAAUAUUAAUAGAAGUAGAAUUUAAUAAAUUUUUAUCUUGAUCCGUGUUUUUGAUUUGUGACUGUUAAUUCUAGAAAAAUUAUUUAUGCCAGUUUAUACAUUAGACUCCUUUUUUUAAUGGUGUUGCAGCAUCCAUGUGCAUUAGAUUCCUGUUGUUUACUCAAACUACUGAACUUGCAGAAAGGAUAUCUAUGGAGAGGAAGGAGAGACAUGGUGUCGGUGAUACUGCAAGGAAGCGCCGUCGCAGCCAUAGUCAAAGCCGCAGUCCACAGAGGAAGUCAUCAGACAGGGAUCGAGAUAGGCACCGUGACAGAGACAGGUCACAGGAGGAGAGUGGGAGAGAGCGGUCACGUGAGAAGAGUGGGAGUAGAGAGAAGGACAAUCAUCAUGACAAGGAUAGGACGAGAGAGAGGGACAAGGAUCGGAGGAAAAAUGCGAAAUAAACCACUGCAGGGAGUAUGAAUUGGCUCUAAGUACAGGAUUGCUUCUCAUGUGGCUCACAGAUGUUUGCGCCAGAGACCAGUGAAGGAGAGUGCCUGAAAAUGCAAUCUUUUUGAAGUCUAUAGUUUAUUGAUUGGGUUUGGCUCAAGAAAGGUGAAGGCCGCCUUCAGUACAUUCACAUGAAAGGAGAAGCACCUAAACUGAGUUGGAUAUUGUAAAAUCUUAAUUUAGAUGCGGGUUCUGUUUUAAACAAACUGAGUUUUUCUCAGCUGAGAAAGGUGUAAGGUUUGUAGGUCCUAUGAGAUUGUAAGAUAUUUCUGCUGCUCAAAUGUUGGUGCAAGUGAAAAGAAAUAUAUAUUAUCUAAAGCAAAACCGUUGUUGCCUUUCACGAAGGUAAAGAUCAGAAAGCGGCCACCUCAUGAGACUUAGCUGUAGUAAAAAUUCUCCUCAAAAUACCGUAAAUUCUAACAUUACUUGUACGCAUGCAAAUCUAAAACAAAAUUUACUUUUGGGUAAACUUGCAUAUGAAGUAUAUACAUUUACUUGAUGUUGCUAGAAGCAGGGAUUAUACCUCGUCAAAUUUGUAUCUUUUUGUCAUCCAGCUGUUGAAAUGGUAUUAUCUUCUUUUAUGGUCCUCAUACAUUGAUGUGAUGUGCAUGGACGGAAGUGUGGGAGGUUAGAUUUUUAAGCUUGAUAGGUCCCACAGCGGCUGCAGAUGCGGGGCAACAUCUUUAUGCGUUGGCCAAACUCAAACUAGGAAGCUAUAAGUGGAACCGCCUCGUGAGGUUUAGUACUAGGCUCGGUAUCUGGGAUGAAAUUAUGAUACGAGCGAUUUCUGUGCGAAGGAUGCGAUCAGAGUUUACCGCAGAAAUCAAACGAGUUUGUUGUUAAUGAGCAACUUCAUAUUAACAUGCUUCGCUGGAUUAGUAUGAGCUUGAGCAAGAAAUAGAAAUAAGUCAAGCUUGACAUGCAGGUUACUCAUGCUUGGCCUGAUUAGAUAUUGUCUACAUGAUUGCUUAUAAAGAGUUUUAAUAUUCAUCUAAUUGUAUAUUACGAUAAAUGUAUCUUAGUCACCAGUUGUCAUAAUGUAACAUCUAUGGGUUUUAUUUACUAGUAUACCUUCGAAUUAAGAAAUCUUAGUAAAGAUUGGUGAUUAAAAAAAUAUGUAUGUGAUAGCCUUUAGGGACCUUGGCUAGUGAAGAUUAGUGUACCUCUUUGGCUGGGAGAAGAAGUUGAGCCUGAGAUUGUUCAGCUAAAUUGAAUAACGUUCUAACUACGCUUUUUUUUUUCCAAAUUUUAUAUUAACAGUCGAAAAUCCAAUGUCAAAAUGUUUACCUGCUAGCGAAAGCUGUUAGGUUGGGAAUAAACAAUUAUAAAAAUGUCGCAUCAUUUUAUUUCCUUUGUUAUUUUGUAACUUUUUAAUUCAAAUUCCUUCGACGAAUUCUGGAUGUUGUUUUCGAAUAAUAACCACUUCUUGAGCUGUUCCUAACUGUGAAAUCUGUGACAUGAUUCGGAUAGGCUACGUUUUCUUUUCUUUUUUUCCCGGGAAAAAGCGGAUAAGAUAUGUUAAGGAUAACAAGACGCCAAAAGUAUGAGAUCUUAACGGUAACUAAAAGCUCACCCAAGACUCUCUCUCUCUCUCUCUCAUUUCCUAUUACUCCAUCCAUCCCUAUCCUAAUGCUAUCUGGUCGAGACCCUUCAACUGCUACCGUUAUUCGAUGAUCAGAUUAGAUGAUAUAUCAUUCCUCGCAGGAAUCCAUAACAAAUAUGCUCAUGGAAAGUCCAUCCGUUGUUUAGGAAGGGAAACACCUACCAAAUAUUUCUCAACAAGCAGCCUAGAUUCGCCAGCUAACGAAGUUUCAAACCGUUUCAAAAAAAAAAUACCAAUCCGAUACCCACUUCAUAUCCCCCAAUAAAAUCCCCUCCACUACUUCACGUUCCAAAGCCCUCGCUUCUUCCCUCAUAGCUCGCCUCCUCGACUCUCUCUCUCUCUUUCUCUCUCUCAAAUAAGCAAGGCUACUCGUGGUGUUGCUGAAGCCUUAGAUCUGUUCCAAUGGCAGGCGCUAUGAAUGUAGCCACGGGUGAAGGGAAGGAGUACCCUGGGAAGAUUACUGUCUUUGUCUUCAUGAGCUGUCUCGUGGCCUCCUCCGGAGGCCUCAUCUUCGGCUACGAUAUUGGAAUUUCAGGUAAAUCUUGCAAGAGCUUUACUCUCUCAACAUCUUCUCUUUUAAUAUCUCAUUCCAAUAUAUUUCAUGGUCUUAUAAGUUGAUAUUUUCUUUUCUACUGUCAAUAGGUGGAGUGACAUCAAUGGAUUCAUUCUUGAGCAAGUUCUUUCCAUCUGUCUAUAGAAAACAGGCCGAAGACUCGAGUACCAACCAAUACUGUGAGUUCAACAGCCAGCUGCUUACCGCUUUCACAUCAUCACUUUACUUGGCAGCUUUACUUGCUUCAUUCUUUGCUUCAACCACAACAAGAGUGUUUGGAAGGAAGUGGUCGAUGCUGGGAGGAGGGCUUACCUUCCUUGUUGGUGCUGUCCUUAAUGGCGCGGCCAAGGAUGUCGCCAUGCUGAUCAUCGGCCGCAUCUUGCUCGGUAUUGGGGUUGGAUUUGCCAACCAGGUCAGAGACAUAACCAUUAAAGAGAAAGCAAUGAACACCUUCUUUUUUUUUUACCCUUAGAAAAACAAAAUACAACAAACACUUGAGGAUUCCACAUGCAUUAGGGUGGGGUCCCAACUCCUCAUCUAUUAUUUGAAUUGGUUUCAUACCUUUUCUUUGUUUUGAAUUGGCAAGUGGCAAAUGAAAUUAAGAAAGAAAGAUUAUAGCAACAUUACAUCAGUCUUGAUUAAUUCUUUCAUAUCCAUGUGAAAUGGUUUUAUUUUCUCCUGUUUCUUAACUAAAUGUGGAUAACUUAAUCCUAAAGAGAGUUCCUAAGGACCUGCCAAAUAUCAAGUAUGAUGAUAAAGCGAGAUCAAGAGAUCGAGGAGUGAUCCCACUCAUAAUUUUGUUCUUUUUAUGACUUUUUUUUUGGGGGGGGGGGGGGGGGGGGGGAAGCUUUUACUACUUUUCAUUAGCCAUAUACGAUAACUUAUGCAUUGUAUUAUAUUCUAUCACUAGAUGGCUGCAUUCUUUAAUUCCUUAAUCAAGUAAGACUGCAAUUUUAUGCCUCGAUUUUUGUUUUUUCCACAUGCUUGGCGGCUGCUGCUACUACUACUAUGUGAAUAAAUUAAAUAACAUUGCAAGUUUUACCAAAUUACGUGCAUGCGUGAUAUAUUUUUCGUAAUGAGAUUUUAAUAUUCUAAAAUGGAACUCGUACGUGCAUCAUCAUUUAUGGACUUUUUAAGCUCAUAUAUAUUACACCGCUAAUAUAAUACUGGAUUCUUCUGCUAAGAUUUUGAGUUUAAUAUUCCAGCAGUUCGUGCUCACAUUAUAACUUUAUAUCAAAAGGCUAGCUACCAUCUUUGAUCUAAAAAUCUUGUCCUACCAUUUGAUUUCCUACUACAGGCGGUACCGCUCUAUCUGUCUGAGAUGGCACCAGCAAGGCUACGCGGAAUGCUUAACAUCGGCUUUCAGCUUAUGAUCACGAUCGGCAUCUUCGUAGCAAACCUCGUCAACUACGGCACCUCCAAGAUCAAGGGUGGGUGGGGUUGGCGCGUCAGCUUGGCGCUCGCCGCCGUCCCUGCGGCCACCAUCGCCAUCGGCUCCUUGCUGCUACCCGACACUCCCAGCUCCCUCAUCGACCGCGGGCACAGCGAGAAGGCCAGGGCCAUGCUCCGUAGGAUUCGCGGCACCAGCGACGUCGAUGCGGAAUACGACGAUCUCGUGUCGGCGAGCGAGGAGUCGAAGCUGAUAAAGCACCCAUGGGCCACCUUGCGGGAGAGGAGAUACCGUCCCCACGUCACCAUGGCCAUUCUCAUUCCCUUCUUCCAGCAGCUGACGGGGAUGAAUAUUAUCAUGUUUUACGCCCCAGUUCUCUUCAAGACCAUCGGCUUCGGUGCUGAUGCCUCUCUUAUGUCUUCCGUCAUCAUUGGCCUUGUGAACGCCUUCGCCACCCUCGUCUCCAUCUUCAGCGUCGACAGGGCUGGUCGCCGUGUCCUCUUCAUCGAGGGUGGUAUUCAGAUGACCGUCUGUCAGGUAUUCUCUACUGCUUCGAUCUUCUCUACCGUAUGCUCUAACAAAUUUAAUUACAAAGAUUCGAGCUCACAUAUAUAUAUAUAUAAUUAUAUUCAUAUAAUAAUCACACUGGAAUGGAGGCGUGCCUGUACUUUGAGUUUGGUUGUAAGACAAGUCGUAUGAGUAUCUGUUGAUAGUUUUUUAUGAUGGCGCCAAUUCUAGUUAUUAUACAUUAAGUCAUGUAAAUUUUUACAUAAAUAGUGAUAGAUAGGAAUAUAUGAUUUUUAGAAGGGAGCACACUGUUUUUAUUCUCUUGUUGUUUCUAAAGAUAAAAGGCGCUUAUGAUGGAUAGUUAAUGUUUGAAGUGAAAUUCUAACCUGAUCUGUAUUUUUGGGUGCAACAUAACAUCUUCUUUUUUGUGGUUUAGAUUAUUAUCGGAGUUCUCAUUGGGAUCAAAUUCGGAACCAGCGGCGUUGCAGUUCUAUCUAAAGGAUAUGCCGCUGCUGUGGUACUCUUCAUUUGUUUCUUUGUCUGUGGGUAUGCCUGGUCUUGGGGCCCAUUGGGAUGGCUCGUUCCUAGCGAGAUUUUUCCUCUGGAGAUUCGUUCCGCAGCACAGAGUAUCACCGUGGCCGUCAACAUGUUAUUCACCUUCGUCAUCGCCCAGAUCUUCCUCCCUCUACUUUGCCACAUGAAGUUUGGUCUCUUCUUUUUCUUUGCCGGCUGGGAACUGCUUAUGACCAUCUUUAUUGCUAUGUUCCUACCUGAAACCAAGAACGUGCCUAUCGAGGAGAUGAACACCGUUUGGAAGAAGCAUUGGUACUGGUCCAAGUAUGUCGACGAGGCAUCAAAGGGCUCUUCUGUGGAAUGAUCAUUCUAUAUAGUAGAUUAACCUGUGGUCGCAUUUGAACCUGGGAAAAUACCAGUCAGAAGUCUUCAUUGGGUCUCUCAGUAAUUCAUUAAGGUUGUAGGGAUUGCUGAUUUCUUUUUCCUUUUUCUUUAUUGAUGUCAGAUCGAUAAAUUUUUAGGUUUUUCGUGGACCAUGAUUGUUUAUAGGUUAGCAUUCAGAGUAUUUGUGUAAUGAUGGCCAAUUGUAACGGCCAUCUGUUUUUAAUCUCUAAUUGAUAUUAUUUCAAGGUCGAUUAGUUGAUUGUUGACGAACAUUGCCUCGUUUGAUAGGACAGAACAAGGUCGUGUAAAUGAAAACUGACAUGAACAUGGGUACAAGAAUUGUGAUCAAGAACAACUAGAACUAAUAUAUCUAACUUCUCCAUUUAGCUUCCAUCAGUUUUAAAUGUUUAUUUAAACAAUCAGUUAAUUUGUAUCUAUUGAACAAUUAUAUAAUCCUAUUAAAUCAUGCCCAAGAAGAAUCUUAAAUCUUAGCCUCCUCCACUCUCUUCUCCUUCUACUCGUCUUCAUUCCUUGUUAUUCCAUUUUGCUUGAUGCACAUUUCUUCUUAUUUCAUUUCGUUCUCUCUUGAAUCUGGCUUUGAUCAUGAAGAAACGUAAAUCAUGUCCUAACCUCUGGAAGAUGAUAAUGGUCUACCAAUGUGAACUUGUAUAGUUUUUAGUUUUCCAGGACUCCCAUCCAUGGGUUAACUCACCCCAUUUUGAUCUCAGAUUUUGCUUAAAAAAUGGAGGGAAAUAAAUAUAAUAGCCAAUGAUGCAACAGUUAAUUACCUCACCUCUCCUGAUUCUUUACAAACACGUUUUUGGAUGAAUAUUUUCCUCCUUGCAGCGGAGUGGCUUUGUCUUCCAUUAACGCAUGCUCCACAAGUGGUUAUGCUGACGAUAUGUAGCUGUUUGCAAUGCCUCAGACUAUGGAUGCACAUUUCGUUUAUUAGAAAUUCCACCAAGAUAGUUUGAAACAGAAAUAGUUGUGAGAAAUGAGAGAGAUCGAUCUGCAGUAUUACAGCUGCAAUACUGGAUUUUACAAAUUUGACCAGAUUUUCCCUUUCUUUUUCUUGAAGAACAAGCUCCUUUUCCAAAGUUUCAAGACGACCAAAGUGAAACCUUAAGAGUAUCAUUUAAAUCAUAGCCGAAACUUCGUAAGACCUCAAAGUAUUGCGACUUCAUAAGAAUUGACCAUCAUGCUGCACAUGAUCAAAAGGGCCAGUUUCCUGAUUCAAAUAGUGGUGGUUGUUAACAAUAUAUAACAGUAAACCAAAUACUCUGAAUUUAAACAGUAGUCUCACCACCUCGAAACCCAAGGUGAGGCUCCACACUAAUUAUUGCCUCUAAUCACAUUCACUAGGGCUAUUUCCUAAAGCCAUGGUUAAUUGUAAGAGAUCGUCUAGGGCCAGCUCCAUGAAUAACAUAAAGGGUUUCGCUUUGAAACUGAGCACAGAGUUUAAUCCUGACAAAAUAUCUAGAUCCCAGUCAUGUUAUGGAACUAUUAUGACUGAGCUUAGAUAAAUCUCAUGUUUUGACUUCAUCGAAACGGCGAUUGAGUUCCUGAUGUUGAAUUUUAUGCUAAUAAAUUUAAACAUCCAGUAAAUCCAGGCCCAACCCUAGAUAUUGCAAUUUUAUCAGGUUCUGCUAACCAUAGAAACGUUUGAUUUCAAAAGAUUUCAAAAGAUGCUUGGUAAUAUGGAAAACUGAGAAAGAAUAUGACCAAAACCAAAAUGUACAUCCAAUUAGUUGCACAUACAAGAACAUGAGUUUACAUGCCUACUGAGAAAAUGGUUAGCCGUACAGUUUAAAAUAUUGAUACUGCAGUUCAAAUCCAAAGAUCAUAUGGUCAUUGGCAGAAUUUUUUGAGUUGCAACCUGAGGCUUGAUCUCCCACGAAGCCAUUUGAUCAGCCUCUUCCGGCAGGAUGAAAGGCAAUGAGAUCUCCCGGAUCAUUAGGUCCCCACAGAAUGGGCACUCACUGGCUAUAGCAUCAUCCAGCUGUGACCGCAGCUGUCCCAGAAAUUCAAGUAUAUGCAUGUCAAUGUAGCAAUAACUCAACAAUCACCACGAAUAUUACAUAAGGUUCAUAUCAUACUUACCUUAUCUAUAGGCGUCGUGCUCGUGAUGGAUUCACCAUUUGCACUGCCAUUUGAUUCCUUUGUUGCUUUAUCCCCAAGUAAACUGAGCUGCUUCUGAAGGUCCAGUAUAUAUUCAGCCUACAUCAAACAUAUAAUAAAUGGUUUAAAGAAAGCAGGAUUAUUGUUGCAUUCUUAUUCUUCAGAGAAUGUUGUAUCUCCACCAGGGAGAAAAAAGCAUGCGAUGCAAGAAAACUAGGUCGUCUAUUUUUCAGAAAAAAUGAAUUAGAUGAGGCUGAACAGAAUAAACACAGAUGGUUUAGAUAUUUGUAAUACAAGCGCAAAAUUUGAAAGACUUUUACAGGGAAUUAUUAUUAUUACAGUAAUUGCUGGCAGAGAUGAUAACUAUGCUCAGAUUGGUAGACCAGAAAUAAUUACUGAAAUAACAGAGCGACCCAAGAAAGGAAGUAUCAGAAGUCUGCAGCCAUUUAUUUGAACAUUUAUUUGUACAUGAGGAACACUGGAAGUACCUUUAUUUGUACAAAAACUGAAGUCUGCAGCCAUCUUAUUAAUGCCCGGUUACUGCAUCAUUUUAGGGAGGGUAAAAAUGUCUUGCCAAUUGUAUGGGGGACAUUUGUGAAAUUGCUUUGCGGAAGAUGUUCACUCACGUAACAGUGGCAUCUUCAAUGAAUUUUAUUCAAUAUUUUCUAAAUUAAUAUUUGUUGCCAUACAAGAUUCAGGAUAUCCAACCUAUUACUAAUAAGGAUCUUUUCCAAAAGAUUUAUAGUAACAUAAUUUUUUAAGAACUUUCACAAGAAAACAUCAUAACUUAGUAAUCAUAGAAACAGAACCAAGGCAACUUGUGACUUACCUGAGUCCGGCUUGUGUAUUGAGUAACAUGAGCAAUCAGACAUCGAGCAUGAAAGGUAUGCCCACAAGGAAAGACAUAAAAUGGGGCCAUAGGUCCAACUGAUGUAUAACCUCUUGCUAAUCGUUGUGUUGCACCAGAUGUUAAUAUUCUGCGUUUGCAACCCUAAUAACAUAAUAGAGAAAAAGGGUAGGUAAGAACAUCGCAAAUGCAUCAGGAUUGUCUUGGUGCAAGAAAAUAAUGAUUUUUUGAACUUAAAAGUUAAAACAAAGCAUAAGCUUUCAACAUACAUGCCUAUAAAAUAUAAUUUCAAGGAAGAAAAAAAAAAUCCAAAUAAACUUUGAUGGCAGAAAGCAAAUCCUUUUUCCCAUAUCAAUGAGAAUUGACCAUAUCUUAAGUGGGCAUCAGGAAACCAUGUAAUCAAUCAAGCACAAAAUGCAAAAGCAAUAAGCCACAGUGAUUAGGUCUUAACAUGAAAUACAUAAUCAGGAUUAGUUUCAACCGAAAUUUGUUGUACUAGUACCAGAUACUAUAUCAGUACCUUACUAAUAUAGUACGGACUGUUAUAGUCACUCCCAUACUGAUAUAUGGCAUGCUGCUAGAGAUGAGAUAGAAGCAGUACCAUGUGUGAGUACGGUACUGUAAUGAACUCCUGUAUUGUACCGAUACCUUACCAGUAGGCCGUAUGGGUUGGUCGGUACCAUGAAAUGCCGUACCGGCCCGUACCGGCCGGUACGUACCGGUCCGGUCCUAGACCGGUACCGGAACCACAAGAAAACCGGUAUCGCACCGGUACUGUACCGAUACCGGCCGGUACGGAGCCCGUACCGGUUUUCUUGUGCGAACCGGCCGGUUCGCACCGGUACGAUUUUUUUUUAUAAUGAACCACAGCGCGGGGCGCUGUGGUUUUUGGCUCGCGGUACCGGCCGGUACUGUACCGAUACCGGCCGGUACGUACCGGACCGGACCGGUACCGUACCGGUCCGGCCCGCCACCGGUACGCCGACCGGUACCGGUACGGCGGACCUUGGUCGGUACAGUAAACCAGGAUUUCAAAUUUUCCAUUUAUGUUGCAAUGUCCUUGGCUAGCCAUCAAGACUAGCCUUCAAAAUUGCUGAACUUUCUGUUAGUUUAGGUACAACUAAUAUGUUUAAGUGAACACAGACAUCUGAAACAAUAGUUACUAUUUAAGACAAAAUAAUCACAACAGUGGGAGGAUUUUUUUCCAAAUAAAAGAACAUUUUGUAGGAUAAAAAGGAAAACAAUGUCAAUUCAUCCCAUGGACCAGUACCCCGCAUUCUGCAUCACGAUCAAUAACAGCAAAUCUUUGAGCAAGGGCACUGAUAUCAUUCCUUAUGUUGUCAGCCCCAUGUGUAGCAUCGUUCAUCUCCUGUUUCAGUUGCUCGAUCUGCCUGUUGUAGUCCUCCAAGGAUGUGCAGAUAGCUUCCUAUAAUAUACCAAAUAAAUUUUAAAUGUUAGGUUGCUAAGUAACAAUUAGCAAGUCCUCACAAUAUAUAAGAAUUUUUCCACAAAAAAAGCAAGUAUUUGAGUCUUAAAUCUUAUGUAUUGCAUUAAACCUGCACGAAGUAGACUACAAAGACUUCAAACUCAUAAAUACAUAAUGCUUGAUUUACAUAUUUUAUAUAGGAAAGCAGAGUCAGUCAAGGAUAGGACCAGCUGAGGUUUCACUGGCUUCCAGUGCAGCAUGAUCCUGUUAAACAUGUCUAUUCCAUGUGCAGAUAUACAGUGGAGUAACUUGCAAAUUCAAUUAUUCUACUAUGGAAACUUAAGCAGCAAGCAUGCUUGCAUAUAACACAAAAUACCGUGAACAGAAAUGCUGUAAACAAUAUACUGUUGCAGGAAAAAACCUUGGACAUUAAUGUCGCAAAGGACUUUAACUGGGUGAUUCCAGGUUACAGGCCACUUAGGCCCGAGUUUUACAGGGGUACAGAUUCCAAAACUAUCCAUGACAAUGUUAACAGAAUUAAAAGAGCUAUUUUGGAAUAAAUUGCCAUGUUAAUUAAAAGAAUAAAUUUUCAUCUAUUUAUUUAUGCAGAAAUGAUGUGGAGCAUACAUUUUGGUAUAUUUUGGAUAUUUAGUCAUUAAAUUGCUUUUUAAAUGGAUUUACAGUCAAGGUUUGAUCAGAGUUUUUUUUUUGAAAUUCUUAAAAGAUUAUAAUUAGAUUUCCUCUAAAAAUGCAGCUGUAACAUGCUUUCUUUUUUUCCUCAUCAUGUCUAAAGUAGCAAAUAAUCAUCGGAAAUUAGAAUGCUUGAAGCACAGUCAAAAGAAUUUUACUUUGAAGUCAUCAAUCAGUGCAAAGUCUGGAAAGAAUGGCAAAAUGUCCUCAAUCUUCAGCAGGCCAUCAGUUUCCUUGAGAAAUGCUAUUGCCUUCCUUAUAUUCUCCCUUUUAACUCCUUUUUCUUGCUCAAUUACAUGCUUUGCCACCAUAAGCCAUAGCUUCUUCCUUAGAUCCUCAUCAUCUUCAACCUUGUCUGCUUCCGCCAUAGCAAGUUCUGGGUCUACCUAGUAGAAAGUCAUCCAUUCAAACAUAAUUAAUAUCUAGGAGGAAGCAUAAAAUCUUAUAAUGCCGUCCACAAAAUAAGUCAUCACAGUGCUGCCUCAAACAAUGAUAAUGCAGUUUCAAAACUUACAAGAAACAUAUAAUAUCAGCAAGGACAAGUACAAUAGCAUCAGAAACAUGUCAGUGAUUUUUACUGCAAGACUUCUUUGUUCUCAUGCAUAAUAUACAUACACAACUAUCAUCCUCUAUAACCUAAACCAGAAAGUAGUUAGUACUAGAUAUAUUGCAUGAUUUAAUAAGCAGUGUCAAAAAAAUCUGAAAAGUAGUGAACCAGAGAAAACUAAUCAGUAGAAUCAUAUUUUUUUUUCCAGUUACCAUAGAGCAUCCCCAGGUCCCGAAAUCUAUUAAGUGCAUCAAAUUAAUAAAAAGAUUAUGGCCUAUGUAAAAGGCAAUAUUAAUAAGUGCACCAAAUCACAGUUACCUUCUACUAUAAUUAGUUAGAGGAUGCGGAUGAGUAUCUAGAUCCAGGUCCCAUAAUCUAGGCUAGACCAACCAGCUUAAAAGGUCUAGCCUAUGAAAUGGGUUAGAGAUUUGAGAUUAGGGAUACACGUUCGGUAUAGCUCAGUACUCACAAAUACUAUUACUCUUGCAACCUAAUCAGUUUUUUGCUCUAAAGACUGAUUCGUUCUAAUUUCUAGGUUAAUUAAUAAACACUUUUUAGUUCUGAAGAAUUCUCUAGCACAAGAUCUGAUUUUUAGCUCAGUAAAAUAUUAGAAACCAAUCCGAUUAUAGUAAAGAUAUAUAACAAAACCCGCAGUCCAGAUGCGGCUCCUAUCAAAUUAAUUUUCAAAAACAAAUGAGGGUUGGUACCAAGGACCUAGAUUCAAGUCCUGCCCUCACUCGGAUUUCAGCUGGAAUUUCUCCAUCCUAGUUCUAAAACAAAUCAAAAACAAUUAAAUAAUAUAAUCACAUUUGAAACACAAAUUACUAAUAAUAAUAAUCCACAAUCAGAAUGAAGAAAUCUGAAUAAAUAGUGGGACGCACUUGAAUGAAAGGAAGUAUGAAUCUAAAUUAAAUAGUAAAACAACUAGUCUAGGGCAUGCGCGGUUGCAUUACAUUUGUAGUCAAGGCUCAUAAAAAGAAUACCAUUUGGAAAAUGAAUGACAAAAGCGGCCGCAUGUGAUCAAAUAUUUCAGUAAACCAUAUUUCUGUAUCAGCCCUAGAAGCCCAUCAAGUAGGCUACAAGGAUUCCAAAAGAGACUAUGAUUCACAAAUAUGGAUGAUCUAGCAGUGGAGGGGGGCAAGCGAGAGAGGAAAGGAAGAAAGGACAAGAUCAAGAGAAAAGACAUGGCAGAUAAAAAGAAAAGGAUGUGCAAAAGUGACCAAGGUAGUGACAGGGAUUUGAGUACUUUGUUCUGUGCUUGUGUUGGUCAAGCCCUAGCAUAAUAUGUAUUAUGCCAUGUGGAGCUGUCUAGUCACAUGCUCAACCACGUUUUAAGGCUCAUGAAAACCAAUUCUGGCCCCCAACGGUCAAUACUAGUGUGUGCCAGAUCAUCAAUGAUUAAUAUGGACUGGCAGGAACUAGCAUAUACAAUAUAGAGGUACAUAUCCUUGUCUCGCACUGAUACAUUAUUGGCAUGAUAUGUAUAUGGCAUGGAACAACAUGGUACAUCACCAACAGCCAAGAAAGGAAAAACUAAAAGGGGAAGCCCAGGUGAAGAUUGCCGUUACAGGAACCUUCAACUGGUAAGAAUCCCCAGCCACCCUUCAAUCUCUUGGAUUUCCAUAUCUCCUUUUUCUAUUAACCUAGGGACAUCAAAUAAGAUGCCAAAUCACUCAAGUUGUCAUGUGACAGGCAUGUGACUAAUUAAGUAGGUUGAAACACUCCCAUACGAAAGGUGAAAAUAAGCCAAACUAAAUGAAAACAUAUCAAACAAAUGCCCUAGAAUAUAUUGGUCAAAAUAGUAUUAAAGACAUUUAAAUAUACCAUGCUGUUAUCACAUGUGAUGCAGUUAAUACUAGAAUAUCUGCUAACCGAUGCAUGUUUUAUGUUGGUAAUCUUUCCUGAAAUAUUCAGGAAAGACACCGAAUAAUGCAGUGACAUUUAUAUCCGGCAGAUAUUAUUCAAAUUACUACAUAAGAGAAUUACAUUGAAGUGAUAAAGAAUUUUAUAAAGAAAAAAAAUCAUCAAUCAUUUUUACCUGCAAUGCAAGGGCGACAGCUUCUUCAUGCAUGGACAUCAUGCUGUAUAUAUGAACACAAGCACGCAUACGUUUUUCCUUGAGGCACAGUCGCAAUGCAUAUUUGGGAUCAUAAAAGAACUCAGGGCCACUAGUUCGUCCUUUACCAAACUUGCAUUGUAAAAAACGCAAUAGAGAACUCUCAUCUUCCUGAACAUAAUAUCACAAAAUAAUUGCUGUUAUAUAGUGAAGAUGAUUACUGGGCAUCCAUUUGUACACCAAAACACGCAAUACUAUAGUGAUAUCAGACAUGAAAUAGCUUUGCUGUAUCGUGUUUUCAACAUUAAAUAAUGCACAGCAAUUUUUCUGAAAUAGCUUUGCUCACAGCUAAACAUUAAGAUGCUUGAAGAGCAAUCAAAAUUGCAUCUGCAUGUAUGAAACAUAUAAGAUCACAAGCACUUCACAGGUCAGAUGCCUAAAACAUGAAUUCUUAACUAGACAUACUAAAACACAA